AACGUAGGAGACAAGCGUUAUCCGGAUUUACUGGGCGUAAAGGGCGUGUAGGCGGUGACCUAAGUUGGACGUGAAAUCUCCCGGCCUAACUGGGAGGGGUCGUCCAAUACUGGGUCACUUGAGGACAGAAGAGGGAAGUGGAAUUCCCGGUGUAGCGGUGGAAUGCGUAGAUAUCGGGAGGAACACCAGUGGCGAAGGCGGCUUCCUGGUCUGUUCCUGACGCUGAGGCGCGAAAGCUAGGGUAGCAAACGGGAUUAGAUACCCGUGUA
This 269-nucleotide ribosomal RNA is filed under the name uncultured prokaryote. RNAcentral describes it as "partial 16S ribosomal RNA". It matches the Rfam family "Bacterial small subunit ribosomal RNA", at positions 524 to 792 of the family's 1533-position model. The record is from RNAcentral.